UUAUACGUUUGAAGGAAAUGUUUGUUACUGUGCACAGUAAUGAAAAAUCGUAAGUGGUACAUUAAAUUUGCAAUUUCAUUUUUUCAUUUCUAACAAAUGUCACGUUCCUAAGCUUAUAUCUAUAGCUGAUGUAUAUCAAUGGAGCAUACAAAUGCAACACGGACAUUUAUAUUUGCAGUCAUCCCUAUUACAACUGAUCAUUGCUCAGAAAAAUCGUAAAGCCAUGAAAUUGGAGAAACACGGUUUCUGUUAUCUUCGACAAUAGAAAAGUGAAGCAAAUGAUUGUUCCCACAUCGAAAUAAGAAAGGCUUCAGAAAGGACUGGCAGUAACGUUAUGAAUCAUCACCGUUACAGAUUGGAAGCAUUCUAAACGGCGAACAGUUUAAGGCACUAAAAAAACAACAGUUCGCACUUACUUUCUCUGGAUCGGUCACGAUCAUGAAGUAAGAUAUCUUAUGACCUUUCCGAUGUCGAUAUAGGGUACACAGCCUUUCCAAAUGAAAUGGACUGAGUUACACUUUCGUAUUCCGUAAGCAAUUUCAUUUAUUGUUUCUUAUUUGAAAAUAAUAAGUCGCUGGAGCUCAACUAAUCAUCUGGAAACGCCCUGAAUUUUCAAUCAUAUCUUUAAUAGUUUUUGGUACCUUAGUGGUGUAAUUAGAAGAACGUGCGGCCAGCAACAGGAAGAUGCGGAGUCUCAAUCCCGGCAACGGCAAUGCUGUUUUCUCACGUUACCUUAUUGGAAAAAAUGUAAUCUAUAGUUUUUAGCGUAACUGAUGUUAAAAUAUUAGUUAAGCGUUAAUGAUGCUAAAAUAUUGAUCAUUUUCUUCUAAUAUGAAAUUUAGGUUCUUAAUUAAAUAAUUUUAAAGAUC
Long non-coding RNA from Stegodyphus dumicola, 869 nucleotides. Lineage: Eukaryota; Metazoa; Arthropoda; Arachnida; Araneae; Eresidae. The record is from RefSeq and is a predicted model, not a curated record.